Molecule: long non-coding RNA, 2803 nt
Filed under: Daucus carota (carrot)
Lineage: Eukaryota; Viridiplantae; Streptophyta; Magnoliopsida; Apiales; Apiaceae
Description: long non-coding RNA (DCAR_LNC004741)
Source: RNAcentral
ACUAAAGUCUACGUAGGGUGAUGUAAUUGAUGUCUUUUGAUUUUUCAAAAAAAAUAAAAAUAUCUAAAGAGUUAAUCAUUAAAAUAAUUUAUUUACAUCAAUCCAUCCAUUAUUCAAGUGAGGGGUGUAAAAACUGACAGCUUUAAAUGGAUGACUAGAUUUCUCCCAAAGGCCAUAAUUUUUUUUUAAUCAUACCAAAAUUACUCGAAGGAUCUAGACAUUAGUUGACAUCAUCACCUUAUACAGGUGUAUCUAAUCAGUAAAUAUAAUAAUAAAUAGAAAAGUUAUAUUUUUUCAGAAGGAUCCAGAAGGAACCGGAAUCGAGUAUGCCUUACUUCAAAUGUAACAACUUAUAUAAUGGUGUUGAGCAUCUAUAGCAUCGUCACCUCCGAUCCCCUUCCCCCUCCCCCAACCUAAUAGUUGUAAACAAAAUAUUUUGUGUAGCUAAUUUCAAAUUGAUGAUUGAUCAAUUGCCUUGUAAAUAAGAUGCCAGCUGACCACAUCAUAUUAUUCUAAUGUCAAAAGAUAGGUUGGUACAUUCUAUUAUUUAAUAAGAUUUUAAUAUGUUUGAGAGUUCUGAUUUACAAUUUUCUCUCUCAAAUCAGAGACCACAAAAUUCACACCCAUCACUAAAUCAUCUAAAUUACACCCAUCAGUGAAACUCACCAUGUAUCUAUCCUAAUAAUCCCGAAUAUUCUUUAAAUCAAUAUUAUAUUGAUCUAUGUCAUCUAUAUGUCUAAGAUCUAUCAUUUCUCGGGCAUAUAUCUAUCAUCAAUAGUGAACCGUACAUAUAUACAUACACACAUAUCAUAUAUGUUUUCAAUUGUAAAAACAAGAAAACUUUCAUUCAAAAUAUAGAUCUAGAUGAAGGAUAAUUAUUAACUGCUUGAUGUGCUGCCAGAUAUCAUCAAUACAAUACAAGAAUUUCUGGUCUUCUAAUACAGAGAUUGGGGUCAUGAGGGGAAGAUCAUUAAGGAGCCUUCGUGUGUGCGGGGGCCCAUCUCAUCUCUACAAACAUUCAGGUAAGUCAUUUUUCCAUCUUUAAAAUAUUCUUAAAUAUAAAGGAAUUAUUUAUGUAUUUACAAAAAUUUAGUUUUGAUGAUUUUUAAAUUCAUAUGUGUUUGUUUGAGAAUUGAAAAAUUGCUUCAUUAUUAGAUAAGUGUGACAAUUUUGAAGGAAAUAUCUCAUAUAUUGAAUAUGUAUGAUUUGUAUCAUGUUAAGAUAUAUGUUUUUUAAAUGUAUUUGGAUAUCUUUGCAUAUACCUUCUAAUGUGUAUGGUUGGAAAGAAUGUCUCAAUAUAACCAAAGAAUAUUUAUAUAGAAAUAUUUAUAGGGAAUUGUUAAAUAAGCUCCAAAGUUUACUAUUUAAGCUCCAAUUCAAUUUUUUUAUUUAUCCAAAUGUCAUUAUCAUCACUAAUAUGGAUGAAAUAUGUGGAGAAGGCAUAGGUAAAUAUGGUAUAAAUUUUGGAUUUGGAGCUUAAAUAGUAAACUGUGGAGUUUAUUUAUCAAUUCCCUAUUUAUAUUGACUGUUAUUAUAAUUAAACUUCAAAAUUUAUUUUAAUUACUAUCAAUAGUUCUAGAAAUUUUCAUGAAAUUAUAUUUGGAUAAAAUUUAAUAUUAUUUAUAACAAUGUCAUUAAGUCUUAAUUUACUUUUUCAUAGAUAUGACAUAUCCUUUUUAACCAAUUAUAUAGUACAACAAAUAAGCAAACAUGAGUGAUGUCCUCACUAGGAUGCAUGCGAUUUUUAUUUACUAAGAUUGAUUGUAACUUAUGAAAUUCUAUAUCACUCUAUUCAUUUCUUUCAAUACAUGAUUAUAUUUUUACAACUUACUAAUUGAUGGGGCAACUUGAUGUCUAUUUAUCUUAUGUUUCUCAUUAUUGUAAAGAAUAAGAAUAUCUGUGACUACUAAGAGAAAGAUUUAUUUAGAAGUUGUUGUAUAAAAUCUUCAAAUUAAAAAGAAUUUUGUUUAAUUUCACCAAAUAAUGAAGAAAAUGCUCCAGAAAAAAGGUUUUGAGAAGAUUAGUGUUGAGAAAUUGUCAGAGUAUACGAGGGACUUCCACUUGACAACGUUUUGGGAGGCAUCAAUGCUAGAGAAAGUGUUAGACGUUGCAAAUUGUGAAUCUAAACUAGUGCAACCAACUUCACAGGUUGCUGAUUCAUCCACAACAUUAGAUUUGGAGUAUAGUAACAGCUGGCAAGUCCAUGCUGUUUUUGAAUUUCGAAAUCGGAAACUAUAUUACUCCCUUUGUUUUGUUUUAUAAAUCGGUUUAUAAUUCCUCAUAUUUUUUAUGAACAGCCUUUAGUUUUCAAGAACAACUGAGAAAGAUGUCUUCCAUAAGAAGGGUAAGAUAUCCACUCUCACCAUCCAAUUUCAAAAAGGCAUGCAAACUAUAGCAUAAGUGCGCUCUUCUUAUAGAUAAUUGACUAAACCGUGAAAAUUGUUCUCGCAGCUUUUGUCCCUAUCCUCCAGUGGCCGGAAAGAACUCAUAUUCCUCACUUCCUCCAAGCAGCACGAAAGAUGGGUUGUUGAUUCUUCAACCGAGGAAUUUAAGGCUAUGUAUUAGAGAAAGAGAGUCGAAAGAUGGGUUUUUAAGUGUCCCUCCCUAAUUUUUGUUGGAGUUUAAUCUAAACUCUGAUAUACUUCAAUUGCUUUUAUUUCUUUUAGUUAUUUUAAAUAAGUUGCUGUGUUAGCAUGAGUGUGCACAGCAGGACUAGGUCGUAGUAAAAAAAUGUUAUUAAGAACAUGGUUAGAUUUAGACACACGUGAGCCAUAUAUAAUGGAAAACCUAAACUAUUCACACC